RNAcentral lists this ribosomal RNA (437 nucleotides) under uncultured Anaerovorax sp. RNAcentral describes it as "partial 16S ribosomal RNA". It matches the Rfam family "Bacterial small subunit ribosomal RNA", at positions 341 to 792 of the family's 1533-position model. RNAcentral also lists the same sequence under 1 other name. Lineage: Bacteria; Bacillati; Bacillota; Clostridia; Peptostreptococcales; Anaerovoracaceae. The record is from RNAcentral.
ACGGGAGGCAGCAGUGGGGAAUAUUGGGCAAUGGGCGAAAGCCUGACCCAGCAACGCCGCGUGAGGGAAGAAGGCUUUCGGGUUGUAAACCUCUGUCCUUGGUGACGAACACAAUGACGGUAGCCAAGGAGGAAGCCCCGGCUAACUACGUGCCAGCAGCCGCGGUAAUACGUAGGGGGCGAGCGUUGUCCGGAAUUACUGGGCGUAAAGGGUGCGUAGGUGGUCGACUAAGUUGGAUGUGAAAUCCCCGGGCUUAACUUGGGGUCUGCAUCCAAAACUGGCCGACUAGAGUGCAGGAGAGGAAAGCGGAAUUCCUAGUGUAGCGGUGAAAUGCGUAGAUAUUAGGAGGAACACCAGUGGCGAAGGCGGCUUUCUGGACUGUAACUGACACUGAGGCACGAAAGCGUGGGGAGCAAACAGGAUUAGAUACCCUGGUA